ACUCCUACGGGAGGCAGCAGUGGGGAAUAUUGCACAAUGGGCGCAAGCCUGAUGCAGCCAUGCCGCGUGUGUGAAGAAGGCCUUCGGGUUGUAAAGCACUUUCAGUUGUGAGGAAAGGUUAGUCGCUAAUAUCGGCUAGCUGUGACGUAGCAACAGAAGAAGCACCGGCUAACUCCGUGCCAGCAGCCGCGGUAAUACGGAGGGUGCGAGCGUUAAUCGGAAUUACUGGGCGUAAAGCGCGUGUAGGUGGCUUGUUAAGCCAGAUGUGAAAGCCCCGGGCUCAACCUGGGG
RNAcentral lists this ribosomal RNA (291 nucleotides) under uncultured bacterium. Its description in RNAcentral is "partial 16S ribosomal RNA". It matches the Rfam family "Bacterial small subunit ribosomal RNA", at positions 335 to 619 of the family's 1533-position model. The record is from RNAcentral.